GGUCAGGUCCUACUCCUUCGGCUACUGUUUUCUCAUGUGCCUAUCGGUCCAGCUCAGAUCUGAGUAGAUCUGCCCUUUCACAACUUCCUCCACCUCGAUCUGCUUCACUUCGUGUGGAGAUGCAUAGACUAUUUUUUCCAAAUUGGGGCCGCCUCACCGAUCGCUUCGCCGGCAACGCACCUUCUUCUGGUGUCGCGCCGGAUUUGGUAUCCAGAUCAACUCUCUCCUACCAACCGCCACUCACUGCUGCAAUUUGAGCUGGUUCUUACUCUCUCUCUCUC
This 281-nucleotide long non-coding RNA is filed under the name Carica papaya (papaya). RNAcentral's name for it is "long non-coding RNA (CPAP_LNC013312)". The record is from RNAcentral. Lineage: Eukaryota; Viridiplantae; Streptophyta; Magnoliopsida; Brassicales; Caricaceae.